This 341-nucleotide unclassified non-coding RNA is filed under the name soil metagenome. Its description in RNAcentral is "partial contains 5.8S ribosomal RNA, internal transcribed spacer 2, and large subunit ribosomal RNA". The stretch from base 1 to 120 matches the Rfam family "5.8S ribosomal RNA", at positions 35 to 154 of the family's 154-position model. The record is from RNAcentral.
GAUGAAGAACGCAGUGAAAUGCGAUAAGUAGUGUGAAUUGCAGAAUUCAGUGAAUCAUCGAAUCUUUGAACGCACAUUGCGCCCUUUGGUAUUCCAAAGGGCAUGCCUGUUCGAGCGUCAUUUAUACCCUCAAGCUUUGCUUGGUGUUGGGCGUCUUGUCUCUAGCUUUGCUGGAGACUCGCCUUAAAGUAAUUGGCAGCCGGCCUACUGGUUUCGGAGCGCAGCACAAGUCGCACUCUCUAUCAGCAAAGGUCUAGCAUCCAUUAAGCCUUUUUUUCAACUUUUGACCUCGGAUCAGGUAGGGAUACCCGCUGAACUUAAGCAUAUCAAUAAGCGGAGGA